UACGAAGGGGGCGAGCGUUGUUCGGAUUUACUGGGCGUAAAGGGCGCGCAGGCGGCGCAUUUUGUCAGGCGUGAAAGCCCCGGGCUUAACCUGGGAACUGCGUUUGAUACGGAUGGGCUAGAGUUCGGGAGAGGAGAGUGGAAUUCCCAGUGUAGAGGUGAAAUUCGUAGAUAUUGGGAAGAACACCCGUGGCGAAGGCGGCUCUCUGGGACGGUACUGACGCUGAGACGCGAAAGCGUGGGGAGCGAACAGG
RNAcentral lists this ribosomal RNA (253 nucleotides) under uncultured bacterium. Its description in RNAcentral is "partial 16S ribosomal RNA". It matches the Rfam family "Bacterial small subunit ribosomal RNA", at positions 524 to 776 of the family's 1533-position model. The record is from RNAcentral.